RNAcentral lists this ribosomal RNA (492 nucleotides) under uncultured bacterium. RNAcentral's name for it is "partial 16S ribosomal RNA". It matches the Rfam family "Bacterial small subunit ribosomal RNA", at positions 29 to 507 of the family's 1533-position model. The record is from RNAcentral.
AGUGAACGCUGGCGGUAGACCUAACACAUGCAAGUCGAACGGCAGCACAGUAAGAGCUUGCUCUUACGGGUGGCGAGUGGCGGACGGGUGAGGAAUACAUCGGAAUCUACUUUUUCGUGGGGGAUAACGUAGGGAAACUUACGCUAAUACCGCAUACGACCUACGGGUGAAAGCAGGGGAUCUUCGGACCUUGCGCGAUUGAAUGAGCCGAUGUCGGAUUAGCUAGUUGGCGGGGUAAAGGCCCACCAAGGCGACGAUCCGUAGCUGGUCUGAGAGGAUGAUCAGCCACACUGGAACUGAGACACGGUCCAGACUCCUACGGGAGGCAGCAGUGGGGAAUAUUGGACAAUGGGCGCAAGCCUGAUCCAGCCAUACCGCGUGGGUGAAGAAGGCCUUCGGGUUGUAAAGCCCUUUUGUUGGGAAAGAAAAGCAGCAGGUUAAUACCCCGCUGUUCUGACGGUACCCAAAGAAUAAACACCGGCUAACUUCGUG